RNAcentral lists this ribosomal RNA (1404 nucleotides) under Micrococcus luteus. Its description in RNAcentral is "16S ribosomal RNA". It matches the Rfam family "Bacterial small subunit ribosomal RNA". Lineage: Bacteria; Bacillati; Actinomycetota; Actinomycetes; Micrococcales; Micrococcaceae. The record is from RNAcentral.
CUUAAACAUGCAAGUCGAACGAUGAAGCCCAUCUUGCUGGGUGGAUUAGUGGCGAACGGGUGAGUAACACGUGAGUAACCUGCCCUUAACUCUGGGAUAAGCCUGGGAAACUGGGUCUAAUACCGGAUAGGAGCGUCCACCGCAUGGUGGGUGUUGGAAAGAUUUAUCGGUUUUGGAUGGACUCGCGGCCUAUCAGCUUGUUGGUGAGGUAAUGGCUCACCAAGGCGACGACGGGUAGCCGGCCUGAGAGGGUGACCGGCCACACUGGGACUGAGACACGGCCCAGACUCCUACGGGAGGCAGCAGUGGGGAAUAUUGCACAAUGGGCGCAAGCCUGAUGCAGCGACGCCGCGUGAGGGAUGACGGCCUUCGGGUUGUAAACCUCUUUCAGUAGGGAAGAAGCGAAAGUGACGGUACCUGCAGAAGAAGCACCGGCUAACUACGUGCCAGCAGCCGCGGUAAUACGUAGGGUGCGAGCGUUAUCCGGAAUUAUUGGGCGUAAAGAGCUCGUAGGCGGUUUGUCGCGUCUGUCGUGAAAGUCCGGGGCUUAACCCCGGAUCUGCGGUGGGUACGGGCAGACUAGAGUGCAGUAGGGGAGACUGGGGGGCUGGUGUAGCGGUGGAAUGCGCAGAUAUCAGGAGGAACACCGAUGGCGAAGGCAGGUCUCUGGGCUGUAACUGACGCUGAGGAGCGAAAGCAUGGGGAGCGAACAGGAUUAGAUACCCUGGUAGUCCAUGCCGUAAACGUUGGGCACUAGGUGUGGGGACCAUUCCACGGUUUCCGCGCCGCAGCUAACGCAUUAAGUGCCCCGCCUGGGGAGUACGGCCGCAAGGCUAAAACUCAAAGGAAUUGACGGGGGCCCGCACAAGCGGCGGAGCAUGCGGAUUAAUUCGAUGCAACGCGAAGAACCUUACCAAGGCUUGACAUGUUCUCGAUCGCCGUAGAGAUACGGUUUCCCCUUUGGGGCGGGUUCACAGGUGGUGCAUGGUUGUCGUCAGCUCGUGUCGUGAGAUGUUGGGUUAAGUCCCGCAACGAGCGCAACCCUCGUUCCAUGUUGCCAGCACGUCGUGGUGGGGACUCAUGGGAGACUGCCGGGGUCAACUCGGAGGAAGGUGAGGACGACGUCAAAUCAUCAUGCCCCUUAUGUCUUGGGCUUCACGCAUGCUACAAUGGCCGGUACAAUGGGUUGCGAUACUGUGAGGUGGAGCUAAUCCCAAAAAGCCGGUCUCAGUUCGGAUUGGGGUCUGCAACUCGACCCCAUGAAGUCGGAGUCGCUAGUAAUCGCAGAUCAGCAACGCUGCGGUGAAUACGUUCCCGGGCCUUGUACACACCGCCCGUCAAGUCACGAAAGUUGGUAACACCCGAAGCCGGUGAGCUCUAACCCUUGUGGGGGGAGCCGUCGAA